GGGGUUGUAGCUCAGUGGUAGAGCAUUUGCCUCGCAUGCAUGAGGCCCAGGGUUCAAUCCUCAGUACCA
RNAcentral lists this transfer RNA (69 nucleotides) under Ictidomys tridecemlineatus (thirteen-lined ground squirrel). RNAcentral describes it as "Spermophilus tridecemlineatus (thirteen-lined ground squirrel) tRNA". It matches the Rfam family "tRNA". Rfam says of the family: Transfer RNA (tRNA) molecules are approximately 80 nucleotides in length. Lineage: Eukaryota; Metazoa; Chordata; Mammalia; Rodentia; Sciuridae. The record is from Rfam by way of RNAcentral.